CAACUCUCAAAGUGGUUGUGAAAUGUUUACGUAUUAAUGUUCAUAUCACAGCCAGCUUUGAUGAGCUGAA
RNAcentral lists this microRNA precursor (70 nucleotides) under Clunio marinus. Its description in RNAcentral is "mir-2 microRNA precursor family". It matches the Rfam family "mir-2 microRNA precursor family". From Rfam's summary of the family: The miRNAs are transcribed as ~70nt precursors (modelled here) and subsequently processed by the Dicer enzyme to give a ~22nt product. In this case the mature sequence comes from the 3' arm of the precursor. Lineage: Eukaryota; Metazoa; Arthropoda; Insecta; Diptera; Chironomidae. The record is from Rfam by way of RNAcentral.